This 828-nucleotide ribosomal RNA is filed under the name Paraconiothyrium sp. RNAcentral describes it as "SSU rRNA". It matches the Rfam family "Eukaryotic small subunit ribosomal RNA", at positions 95 to 933 of the family's 1831-position model. The record is from RNAcentral. Lineage: Eukaryota; Fungi; Ascomycota; Dothideomycetes; Pleosporales; Didymosphaeriaceae.
GGCUCAUUAAAUCAGUUAUCGUUUAUUUGAUAGUACCUUACUACUUGGAUAACCGUGGUAAUUCUAGAGCUAAUACAUGCUAAAAACCCCAACUUCGGGAGGGGUGUAUUUAUUAGAUAAAAAACCAAUGCCCUUCGGGGCUCCUUGGUGAUUCAUGAUAACUUCUCAGAUCGCAUGGCUUUACGCCGGCGACGGUUCAUUCAAAUUUCUGCCCUAUCAACUUUCGAUGGUAAGGUAUUGGCUUACCAUGGUUUCAACGGGUAACGGGGAAUUAGGGUUCGAUUCCGGAGAGGGAGCCUGAGAAACGGCUACCACAUCCAAGGAAGGCAGCAGGCGCGCAAAUUACCCAAUUCCGAUACGGAGAGGUAGUGACAAUAAAUACUGAUACAGGGCUCUUUUGGGUCUUGUAAUUGGAAUGAGUACAAUUUAAACCUCUUAACGAGGAACAAUUGGAGGGCAAGUCUGGUGCCAGCAGCCGCGGUAAUUCCAGCUCCAAUAGCGUAUAUUAAAGUUGUUGCAGUUAAAAAGCUCGUAGUUGAACCUUUGGCCUGGCUGGCAGGUCCGCCUCACCGCGUGCACUUGUCCGGCCGGGCCUUUUCUUCUGGAGAACCGCAUGCCCUUCACUGGGUGUGUUGGGGACCAGGACUUUUACUUUGAAAAAAUUAGAGUGUUCAAAGCAGGCCUUUGCUCGAAUACGUUAGCAUGGAAUAAUAGAAUAGGACGUGCGGUCCUAUUUUGUUGGUUUCUAGGACCGCCGUAAUGAUUAAUAGGGACAGUCGGGGGCAUCAGUAUUCAAUUGUCAGAGGUGAAAUUCUUGGAUUUAUUGAA